UUUAGGAAGAAUAGGGAGUAUAAUUUGUGUAUUGCCCAGGGUAGACUAGCCCCAGUCAUGUCCCAUGUCGUGUCCGACCUUAUCGACUUUUCGGUCAAAACUUUAAAUAGACCCCCCUCACA
Molecule: non-coding RNA, 122 nt
Organism: Fusarium venenatum
Lineage: Eukaryota; Fungi; Ascomycota; Sordariomycetes; Hypocreales; Nectriaceae
Source: RefSeq, a predicted model, not a curated record